GACGAACGCUGGCGGCGUGCUUAACACAUGCAAGUCGAACGGAAAGGCCCUGCUUUUGUGGGGUGCUCGAGUGGCGAACGGGUGAGUAACACGUGAGUAACCUGCCCUUGACUUUGGGAUAACUUCAGGAAACUGGGGCUAAUACCGGAUAGGAGCUCCUGCUGCAUGGUGGGGGUUGGAAAGUUUCGGCGGUUGGGGAUGGACUCGCGGCUUAUCAGCUUGUUGGUGGGGUAGUGGCUUACCAAGGCUUUGACGGGUAGCCGGCCUGAGAGGGUGACCGGCCACAUGGGGACGGGGUUACGGCCCAGACUCCUACGGGAGGCAGCGGUGGGAAUAUUGCACAAUGGGCGGAAGCCUGAUGCAGCAACGCCGCGUGCGGGAUGACGGCCUUCGGGUUGUAAACCGCUUUCGCCUGUGACGAAGCGUGAGUGACGGUAAUGGGUAAAGAAGCACCGGCUAACUACGUG
RNAcentral lists this ribosomal RNA (467 nucleotides) under uncultured bacterium. RNAcentral describes it as "partial 16S ribosomal RNA". It matches the Rfam family "Bacterial small subunit ribosomal RNA", at positions 28 to 507 of the family's 1533-position model. The record is from RNAcentral.